RNAcentral lists this ribosomal RNA (253 nucleotides) under uncultured Eubacteriales bacterium. RNAcentral describes it as "uncultured Clostridiales bacterium partial 16S ribosomal RNA". It matches the Rfam family "Bacterial small subunit ribosomal RNA", at positions 524 to 776 of the family's 1533-position model. The record is from RNAcentral. Lineage: Bacteria; Bacillati; Bacillota; Clostridia; Eubacteriales.
UACGUAGGUUGCAAGCGUUGUCCGGAUUUACUGGGUGUAAAGGGCGUGUAGGCGGAGAUGCAAGUUGGGAGUGAAAUCCCGGGGCUCAACCCCGGAACUGCUUUCAAAACUGCAUCCCUUGAGUAUCGGAGAGGCAAGCGGAAUUCCUAGUGUAGCGGUGAAAUGCGUAGAUAUUAGGAGGAACACCAGUGGCGAAGGCGGCUUUCUGGACAGUAACUGACGCUGAGGCGCGAAAGCGUGGGGAGCAAACAGG